UUGAAAAAGGCUCCGAUGACUUGUGGUUAGGGGUGAAAGGCCAAUCAAACUUCGUGAUAGCUGGUUCUCCCCGAAAUGCAUUUAGGUGCAGCGUUGCGUGGUUCUUGUUGGAGGUAGAGCACUGGAUGGUCUAGGGGGCCCACAAGCUUACCGAAAUCAACCAAACUCCGAAUGCCGGUAAGUGAGAGCGUGGCAGUGAGACUGUGGGGGCUAAGCUUCAUAGUCGAAAGGGAAACAGCCCAGAUCGCCGGUUAAGGCCCCUAAG
Molecule: ribosomal RNA, 265 nt
Filed under: Diacronema lutheri
Lineage: Eukaryota; Haptophyta; Pavlovophyceae; Pavlovales; Pavlovaceae
Description: partial Bacterial large subunit ribosomal RNA
Rfam family: Bacterial large subunit ribosomal RNA
Source: RNAcentral